UACAUGUGGGGCAAGCGUUGUUCGGAAUCACUGGGCAUAAAGGGUGCGUAGGCGGCUUAUUAAGUCAGGGGUGAAAUCCGGUGGCCCAACCAUCGAACUGCCUUUGAUACUGAUGAGCUUGAGUGCGUGAGGGGUAACCGGAACGAGUAGUGUAGCGGUGAAAUGCGUAGAUAUUACUCGGAAGGCCAACGGCGAAGGCAGGUUACUGGUACGCAACUGACGCUGAGGCACGAAAGCGUGGGGAGCAAACAGG
This 253-nucleotide ribosomal RNA is filed under the name uncultured bacterium. Its description in RNAcentral is "partial 16S ribosomal RNA". It matches the Rfam family "Bacterial small subunit ribosomal RNA", at positions 524 to 776 of the family's 1533-position model. The record is from RNAcentral.